GAAAUGCGAUAAGUAAUGUGAACUUCAGAAUUCAGUGAAUCAUCGAAUCUUUGAACGCACCUUGCGCUCCUUGGUAUUCCUUGGAGCAUGCCUGUUUGAGUAUCAUGAAAUCUUCAAAGUAAAUCUUUUGUUAACUCAAUUGUUUUCUACUUUGGUAUUGGAGGUCUUUGCAGCUUCACACCUGCUCCUCUUUGUUCAUUAGCUGGAUCUCAGUGUUAUGCUUGGUUCCACUCGGCGUGAUAAGUUAUCUAUCGCUGAGGACACUGUAAAAGGUGGCCAAGGUAAAUGCAGAUGAACCGCUUCUAAUAGUCCAUUGACUUGGACAAUACUUUUAUGAUCUGAUCUCAAAUCAGGUAGGACUACCCGCUGAACUUAAGC
This 378-nucleotide unclassified non-coding RNA is filed under the name plant metagenome. RNAcentral's name for it is "partial contains 5.8S ribosomal RNA, internal transcribed spacer 2, and large subunit ribosomal RNA". The stretch from base 1 to 105 matches the Rfam family "5.8S ribosomal RNA", at positions 50 to 154 of the family's 154-position model. The record is from RNAcentral.